This 301-nucleotide ribosomal RNA is filed under the name uncultured bacterium. RNAcentral describes it as "partial 16S ribosomal RNA". It matches the Rfam family "Bacterial small subunit ribosomal RNA", at positions 509 to 807 of the family's 1533-position model. The record is from RNAcentral.
CAGUAGCCGCGGGAAUACGGAGGGGGCUAGCGUUGUUCGGAAUUACUGGGCGUAAAGCGCACGUAGGCGGAUAUUUAAGUCAGGGGUGAAAUCCCAGAGCUCAACUCUGGAACUGCCUUUGAUACUGUCGAUCUGGAGUAUGGAAGAGGUGAGUGGAAUUCCGAGUGUAGAGGUGAAAUUCGUAGAUAUUCGGAGGAACACCAGUGGCGAAGGCGGCUCACUGGUCCAUUACUGACGCUGAGGUGCGAAAGCGUGGGGAGCAAACAGGAUUAGAUACCCGGGUAGUCCCUGUCUCUUAUAC